GUUUACUGGUGGUUCCCAGAAUAUCUAAAAUUAGGAUGGGAGGCAGAUCUUUUAGUUAUCAGGUUCCUCUCCUGUGGAACCAGCUCCCAGCCUUAGUCUGUGAGGCAGACACCUUGUCUACUUUUAAGAAUAGGCUUAAAACAUUUUUAUUUGAUAGGGGCUAUGGUUAUGAAAAAAUGAUAAUAAUUGAUUUUAGCAAAUGGCUUCAAUAUAACAUAGAGUGAAAGAACUGACGGGGAUCUGAAUACUGUCCUCAAGUAUAAAAGUGAAUAACCAGGAUUCACUUCAACAGGAUCUGCAGACUGAUAAUUUCCCUUAGAGACGCUCAGAGAACAGAGUCAACCCUGAUGCAGCUGCACAGUUUCAGCAAUGGGUGGAACCGGAGAGCAACGAGCCAUCUGCUACUCAUCAGCAGACUUCUUAAGGAGCAGGGAGACGCACAUCAGCGCUGGAUGAUUACUCAAUCUUGGUCAAUCCUCCACUUUCAGAACCUGCCAUAAGACACGGAUCCACGCCUGUCUCCCCGCUCCAGCCUCUUCUGACCAGCCAGCUCUCUGCCGCCUCCGCACCCUCCCCCCUCUCAGGACUCCGAGGAUUCGCCCUGUCGCGCGCUCCUCCUGCCACUCACCAGCCAACCGGACCCUCCUCUCUCCUCUUCUCUCCUCCCUACCCAGAACGCUGGGCCCCAGGAUUUCUGGACUAUAAAGAACUGAGCUAAGCUCCAAAUCGUCACCUACCUUAACGGUUCUCCUUUAGUUAAGAUAAUAAAUAUUUUGUUUUUUUCUAACCCAUCCUCUUGACUCUGAAGUUGAUUCUGUAUGUCUUGGGUCAGACGGUUAACCCCUAACAUGACAAUAGCUGUUUUUACAGGACAAGAGCAUUUGCAAAACGGGAUUUGCCACGGCUCCCUGGGGAGGACAAAGGUUGUUUAUAAGAUCAGACCGUGGCGGUAACAUGGCACAAUCAUGGCAAUUUUAUAAAAGAUUAGGCGAUGGCGGCAUAAAGGGUGUAUGGGGGCGGUCUCUGCACUGCCGCAGACUUCCGUUGAUCUUGGACAUAACUUGCUUUUUAUUGCGAAUGAAACCGUGAUCGUUAAGUUUUUUUAACAAGCAGCUCCUAAAGGUGUCUGUCACCAUCAGUCCCUGUGCAGUCUCUGGUGAUCUGAGCUUCAGCUCCAACAGAGAGGCUCAUGGAGCGCUGCUUUGCUCCAGUUUUUCAUCUCAGCUGUUUUUGUUCAAAAAGCAAACCUUAUUGCCCGUGUUUACUUUCAUUUUCAACAAACUUGCCAGCCGGAGCUCAGCAAUAACUCCCCACGUCAUCAUGACAUCUGCCUCUGUUGCGCCAGUGCGCAUACGACAGACCAUUACAGCAAGAUUACUACCAAGCAAGGCGGAACGAAUGCCUCAAAAUUUGCGCAAUGCCAUGCUGGCAUGGCGCGUUUAUAGACAUACCAUUGCGGUAAUAUUACGCCGAUUUGCCGGCAUGGUGUGUCUUAUAAAAAGGGCUUAGGACACUGGUAUUUGGAGGAGUUUAAGGUGGAUCUGCUGAGUCCCGUGGCUGCAGAACAAUCAUAAACCUUCAGAAAUUAGAUAUUUGCUGACACCCUGAGCUUGGUUUUGUCUAAGCUUCUUUGCAUUGUGGGUAAACCUAUUGACUUUGGUCCUGACGUUUCUGAAGUCUUGUGGUUCAUCCAGGUGAAACUUCUACCUGAGCUGAGUGGCCAUGCUUUACAUAAAGGAGGCUUUCACUUGCAGUCUGUCCAAACAAGACAAACAUGUUUAGGAUUGUCCUAGAUCAUUCUCUUGUCAACGUUAGCAUUUCAUCUGAGCCCGAGGUGGAGCGCUUGUUUUUUUCCUUAUGUCAUUUCUCUGAGCCUUGACCUCUGACCCCAGAGUGAAUUCACAUGAAAGUUCAGCAGCCGUCUUAACUGAGUUCUACUUGUGACAAAACUGUUGAACAGUGGACCCAAAAUUGUUUAGAAAUGACCUUUAACCCUUCCCAGAUUGAUGAGCAGAAGCUCGCCAUAAUCACUUCUGACGAUCUUGUGUUAACAGACACUCGUAUGCUCUGGAGAAAACAGAUUUUAAUAAAGCUUUACAGCCCGGAUGAAACUUGUCUC
Molecule: non-coding RNA, 2119 nt
Organism: Nothobranchius furzeri (turquoise killifish)
Lineage: Eukaryota; Metazoa; Chordata; Actinopteri; Cyprinodontiformes; Nothobranchiidae
Source: RefSeq, a predicted model, not a curated record